UGGGGAAUAUUGCACAAUGGAGGGAACUCUGAUGCAGCGACGCCGCGUGAGUGAUGAAGGAAUUCGUUUCGUAAAACUCUGUUCUAUGGGAAGAAAAGGACUGUACCAUAGGAGAAAGCUCCGGCUAAAUACGUGCCAGCAGCCGCGGUAAUACGUAUGGAGCGAGCGUUGUCCGGAAUUAUUGGGCGUAAAGGGUGCGCAGGCGGCUUUACAAGUUGGAUGUGAAAUAUUGUGGCUCAACCACAAACGUGCAUCCAAAACUGCAAAGCUUGAGUUAAGGAGAGGUAAGUGGAAUUCCUGGUGUAGCGGUGAAAUGCGUAGAUAUCAGGAGGAAUACCGGUGGCGAAGGCGACUUACUGGAAUUAAACUGACGCUAAGGCACGAAAGCGUGGGGAGCAAACAGG
Molecule: ribosomal RNA, 404 nt
Filed under: Fusobacteriota bacterium
Lineage: Bacteria; Fusobacteriati; Fusobacteriota
Description: Fusobacteria bacterium partial 16S ribosomal RNA
Rfam family: Bacterial small subunit ribosomal RNA
Source: RNAcentral